UGAGGGAAAGGCGAAAAGAACCCCGGCGAGGGGAGUGAAAAAGAACCUGAAACCGUGUACGUACAAGCAGUGGGAGCCCCACCACCAAAGCAUUCUCUGGUGUUGAAGGCCCUGCAAAGCAGCAUCGCGGUGGCGGAGCGUCGUUUGCGACGCCCAACACACAAAACAAGCGGUGAAUGCUUUGGGGUGGGGUGACUGCGUACCUUUUGUAUAAUGGGUCAGCGACUUAUAUUCUGUAGCAAGGUUAACCGAAUAGGGGAGCCGGAGGGAAACCGAGUCUUAAUUGGGCGUUAAGUUGCAGGGUAUAGACCCGAAACCCGGUGAUCUAGCCAUGGGCAGGUUGAAGGUUGGGUAACACUAAC
RNAcentral lists this ribosomal RNA (362 nucleotides) under Salmonella enterica subsp. enterica serovar Typhimurium. Its description in RNAcentral is "partial 23S ribosomal RNA". It matches the Rfam family "Bacterial large subunit ribosomal RNA", at positions 504 to 766 of the family's 2925-position model. Lineage: Bacteria; Pseudomonadati; Pseudomonadota; Gammaproteobacteria; Enterobacterales; Enterobacteriaceae. The record is from RNAcentral. RNAcentral also lists the same sequence under 35 other names.